ACAAUUCUGAUGUAAUGAUGGAAAUCAUUCAUUUAGCAUUUAUGACAGUACUCAUGGAAAUUGGUGGACUGGAAAACCGAAUUGGUUUUCAUCUUAUCAAGAUGUUAAGUUAGCCACUCGAAGUUGAGAUUGUCUAUGAUCGAGUGUAUGUACGUAAGUACGUAACUGUAACCAAGUGCGCAGUUGAAAAAGCUGAAAUCUCUGUUCGAGACGAGUACGGCAACGCUGAGGGGAAACGAAUGUCUCUCCCCUUAUAUUCAUUUGAAAUGACGUAUUUCUCCCUUGUAAAAGGGAACCAGUAUAGGGGUCCUGUGUAAGAACCAGUAUAGGGGUCCUGUGUAAGAACCAGUAUAGGGAUCGGUGUUGGUUCUAACUGGUAUUGAAGGAGUACAGCUAGGAAUAAGCUACUUUUACAAUGUAUCCACCUACUGUUAAGAAGAAAUAUUAUUAAAAAAAACCCGG
This is a long non-coding RNA of Macrobrachium nipponense, 462 nucleotides long. RefSeq lists it as uncharacterized. The record is from RefSeq and is a predicted model, not a curated record. The transcript has 2 exons. NCBI's taxonomy places the organism in Eukaryota, Metazoa, Arthropoda, Malacostraca, Decapoda, Palaemonidae.